GAGCCAUUAGCUCAGUCGGUAGAGCACCUGACUUUUAAUCAGGGUGUCCCGCGUUCGAUUCGCGGAUGGCUCA
Fervidicola ferrireducens is the source of this 73-nucleotide transfer RNA. It matches the Rfam family "tRNA". From Rfam's summary of the family: Transfer RNA (tRNA) molecules are approximately 80 nucleotides in length. Their secondary structure includes four short double-helical elements and three loops (D, anti-codon, and T loops). The record is from Rfam. NCBI's taxonomy places the organism in Bacteria, Bacillati, Bacillota, Clostridia, Thermosediminibacterales, Thermosediminibacteraceae.